CCCUUAGAUGUUCUGGACAGCACGCGCGCUACAAUGGUCUUCGCAAACGGAUGCAUUCUCGAAGGAGGAUGCCAAUCUUGGAAUCUAUGCCUUGGUCGGGACAGUUGCUUGCAAUUUUUCGACUCGAACCAGGAAUUCCUUGUAAUCGUGAUUCAUCACAUCACGAUGAAUACGUCCCUGCCCUUUGUACACACCGCCCGUCGCUCCUACCGAUCGAAGAGUUAGGUGAAUUGUUUUGAUCGAUAAGAUUUGACUAUGGUCAACUCUCGUUGUGAAAUUCUGUGAAUCUGACUGUUUAGAGGAAGGAAAAGUCGUAACA
RNAcentral lists this ribosomal RNA (319 nucleotides) under uncultured eukaryote. Its description in RNAcentral is "partial 18S ribosomal RNA". It matches the Rfam family "Eukaryotic small subunit ribosomal RNA", at positions 1470 to 1796 of the family's 1831-position model. The record is from RNAcentral.